Molecule: ribosomal RNA, 517 nt
Filed under: bacterium enrichment culture clone ALO1_GLFRUDD03F16XS
Lineage: Bacteria
Description: bacterial SSU rRNA
Rfam family: Bacterial small subunit ribosomal RNA
Source: RNAcentral
GAGUUUGAUCUUGGCUCAGAUUGAACGCUGGCGGCAGGCCUAACACAUGCAAGUCGAGCGGAUGACGGGAGCUUGCUCCUUGAUUCAGCGGCGGACGGGUGAGUAAUGCCUAGGAAUCUGCCUGGUAGUGGGGGACAACGUUUCGAAAGGAACGCUAAUACCGCAUACGUCCUACGGGAGAAAGCAGGGGACCUUCGGGCCUUGCGCUAUCAGAUGAGCCUAGGUCGGAUUAGCUAGUUGGUGGGGUAAUGGCUCACCAAGGCGACGAUCCGUAACUGGUCUGAGAGGAUGAUCAGUCACACUGGAACUGAGACACGGUCCAGACUCCUACGGGAGGCAGCAGUGGGGAAUAUUGGACAAUGGGCGAAAGCCUGAUCCAGCCAUGCCGCGUGUGUGAAGAAGGUCUUCGGAUUGUAAAGCACUUUAAGUUGGGAGAAGGGCAGUAAGUUAAUACCUUGCUGUUUUUGACGUUACCGACAGAAUAAGCACCGGCUAACUCUGUGCCAGCCGCCGACCG